This 443-nucleotide ribosomal RNA is filed under the name Pseudomonas sp. Its description in RNAcentral is "bacterial SSU rRNA". Lineage: Bacteria; Pseudomonadati; Pseudomonadota; Gammaproteobacteria; Pseudomonadales; Pseudomonadaceae. The record is from RNAcentral.
GCUUGCCUUCCUCCUUGAKAAGCGGCGGACGGGUGAGUAAUGCCUAGGAAUCUGCCUGGUAGUGGGGGAUAACGUUCGGAAACGGACGCUAAUACCGCAUACGUCCUACGGGAGAAAGCAGGGGACCUUCGGGCCUUGCGCUAUCAGAUGAGCCUAGGUCGGAUUAGCUAGUUGGUGGGGUAAUGGCUCACCAAGGCGACGAUCCGUAACUGGUCUGAGAGGAUGAUCAGUCACACUGGAACUGAGACACGGUCCAGACUCCUACGGGAGGCAGCAGUGGGGAAUAUUGGACAAUGGGCGAAAGCCUGAUCCAGCCAUGCCGCGUGUGUGAAGAAGGUCUUCGGAUUGUAAAGCACUUUAAGUUGGGAGGAAGGGCAGUUGCCUAAUACGUAACUGUUUUGACGUUACCGACAGAAUAAGCACCGGCUAACUCUGUGCCAGCA